This 67-nucleotide transfer RNA is filed under the name Phryganopsyche latipennis. RNAcentral's name for it is "tRNA-Leu". The record is from RNAcentral. Lineage: Eukaryota; Metazoa; Arthropoda; Insecta; Trichoptera; Phryganopsychidae.
UCUAAUAUGGCAGAAUUAAUGCAUAGGUUUUAAGAUCCUUUUAUAAAGAUAUUAUCUUUUAUUAGAA